This 354-nucleotide ribosomal RNA is filed under the name Perga condei. Its description in RNAcentral is "partial 12S ribosomal RNA". Lineage: Eukaryota; Metazoa; Arthropoda; Insecta; Hymenoptera; Pergidae. The record is from RNAcentral.
UUAAGUCUUAAAAAAUUAUUAGUAGAGUAUUAAUAGUUAUUUUCUUUAAAAUCAAAAAAAUUGGCGGUAUUUUAUCUAAUUAGGGGAAUUUGUUUAUUAAAUGAUAAUCCGCGAGAAAUCUUACUUUUUUUAUUAAUAUAUGUACUUCCGUUAUCAGAAUAUUUUAAAUUAAUAUAUAAUUUUCAAGAUUUUUAAUAAAAAUUAUUUCAGGUCAAAGUGUAGUUUAUAAAAAAGUUUAAAUGAAUUACAAUAAAUUUAUUUAUUAUGGAUUUUAAAUUGAAAUAUUUAAAUGAAGGUGGACUUAAUAGUAAAAUAAAAUUAUUAUGUUUAUUUGAAAAAAGAUCUAAAAUAUGU